GGCUGUGGCAAAGUCACUGACAAGUCAUGCUUCCCCAGAACUCCUUCUCUCCUAAACAAACUGCGAUCACCUCAACAAAACAGGGAUUUGUAACACUUCAAAGACAAAAAUGGGUUCUCUUACUGUCCUGAAUGAAGCUUGCAGAUUCAGCUAGCCUGGCUGACCAGAAAGUCCUAAGGAUCAUCCUGUCUCUGCCUUCUCGGUGCUGGAAUUAAAAGUGAAUGCCACAAUGCCCAGUUUUCUACAUUAGUUCUGGGGAUCACACUCAGAUCUUCAUGGUUGCAAAAAUCUUCAUCUGGUGAUGGAUAGAGAUCGAGACAGUGACCCACACAGGAGCACUGGACUG
Molecule: long non-coding RNA, 346 nt
Organism: Microtus oregoni (creeping vole)
Lineage: Eukaryota; Metazoa; Chordata; Mammalia; Rodentia; Cricetidae
Exons: 3
Source: RefSeq, a predicted model, not a curated record